GCCAGCGAUGGUCCGGACCGGGCCCCCGGGCCCUCAGGCAGUGGGGAGCCGGGGCGAGGAGCCCGCGGUUCAGUUUCCGCAUCAACAAAAUUGAAGCUGCUCAGGAGGAGCCACCUCUGUUUGGUCUCCAUAAACUGCUGGAGUUCAGCCUCCAUGAACAGUUCUGCAGUGGACUCGAAUGAAGCUGCAAAGUGAGAGAAAGCAGCAGAGCUGGGAACAGCAGACAGAUGUCCUGAGUCAUCUCCAGGCAGACACACCAAUACAGCAGCAGCACACAGGUGAUGGAGAUCUCAGUUGAAGAUGCAGCCAGCUCAAUCUGUGAGAGGUCCUGCACAUGCCUCUGACAUUCCUGCUGGUUGGGAUGUUUGCCUCUGCUGGGAGACCCCUCCAUCCUCUUCCUGGUCAGGAAAGGGACACAGCUGGGCCCUGGAAGACCAGCUGGGUGGAGAGUAAAGGCAGGACUGGUGCUGAGAGUGGAGUUCAUCUGUGUUUGGGAGAAAAUGUGGAUGAACAUCCCUUGCCUCUUGCUGAUGGAGCUCUGUGGUGUCCCUGCUUGCCCUUGGACACCAGAUGGACUUCCCAGUGAAAGAUGAGCCCGGCUGCAUUCAGACUGAGCCAUCCUUGCCAGCCAAAGCAGAUUCUUCAUGCCUGCUUCCAAGCAGCACGAGCUUAAACAACUGGUGUCAGAGUGGGGUGUCUCUGCAGUCCUGGCCACGAAGAGAGGAGAUGAAACGUUCUCCUGCUUGGAGCACAGGAAAGAGGCUGGAGCUGGGCUGAAAAACUGAAAAACUCCAGUGAAAUCGGAGUUCUUUGUUCAUGUUUCAUUGCCUGCUUUGAGGAAAACAGUGAUCAGGAGAUGAGACAUGAGCCUCGGGGGAAGCAAUACUGUGCAGUCAGGAAGUUGCUUGUUCCAUGAUUAGCAUCGCCGCAGCUCCCGAGGGAAGGGAUGGCACUGUCUGGGCAGACUUGGAACCUGCUGAGAGCACUUGCACCUGGUACUCCACCCAGGAUCCAGUCUGCAAGUGGAAAAGUUGCCACUGAUGACUUGGAAUUUAGGAACCAAGAGCUGCUGUGCCGUGUGGGACCGCGUCAAGUGAGGGCGGUGAGGAGUGGAGUUCACCCAGCAGCUGUGGCACGAGUGCCCAGCUUGGCUUGGCGGGAAGGUGAACAGCACCUGAAGCCUCUUCCUGGAGUGUCCAGCCUGACACGGAGACUGAGCCCUGCCCGUGUACUGAGCCCGUCGUUCCCACAUCCCAGCCAGGCACUGUGCAUGGAGGUGCUGCUCUGGGCAGGACACAGGAUGCACCUGAGUCACUUCAGACAUUUAUAAUCUGAUCUCUGAGAGCAGCACUGUCAGCAGCUUUUCCUCCCCCUCGUGCAGUACCCGGAGAUGUGUUCCCAUCCCUGGGCACCUUGGAAGUCCCAACAAGCCACGAGUGGCCAAGACCUGCCGAAGCCUGUUGAUCCAGACACUGGAUUCCUAAAACCUUUGCUUUCCCCAACACCUUCAUAAAGUGUCCUGAAUUAAGGGAGCCUGAAGUGCUCUGAUGGACCUGUUCCACCUGGUGGGAGGCAGAGAAUCCAGCGGGAACACGUGCUGCAGCCUCGUGCACCUCACUUGGAUGGGUGAGAUGGAGCAGGGGCAGCUCCCGAGAGCCUGCGAGUCCCCACGAGGCACAAACCACUCUGAAGCACCAGCCUUUGAAGCCUGGUUGGGGCAGUGUCCAGACCAAGCUGCCCCUCUGUGUGACCAGGAGUCAGUACCUGUCCUUGCCGAGCCCUUCCACAGAGCCUCUGCAGCAAAGUGGGCACAAAGAGUGAAGGACAGUGAAGGUCAGGCUUUUGCUCAUCGGUGUUUUCUCUGUGUAACAGCCUUGGGGGUUCUUUUGGAAAACAAAGCCUGAAGCUUUUGGGACAGCUCGUUCAUGAUGGGCCUGUGCUGGUGUGACUCCCAUGGGAGAUCUGAGGGAGCUGGGGGAGAGGACUUAAGCAAAACAUGAGCAGGAGAAGGUGCAGUGACCAAUUUGUUCGCGUGCAUCCUGCAGGAUCCUGCCUGGCUCUCCCUCACCUCUCCUGCCCCGUGCCCUGUGCUGUGUUACCCUCUUCCCGGGAAUCGCCGCUCUCCGGCAUCGCCACCACAUCCCACGGCACGGGUGGGAACACAGAGGCUCUGCUCCCAAAGAGCGGCUUACCUGCGCCGUGUCAGGCAAGAGCAAACCUGUCACCCACCUCGGGCACCCGGGCGCGUCUCCAGUGAUUUCCAGGGCGAGGCGAGCAGGAGAACCCUCCCACCGCGCUGCCCGGGGCGCUGCCUCCCUGUCCGCGGGCUCAGCUCCAGCCCUUGUUUUGCAGCGCGCACGUGGAAUUUUAUCACCUUCAACAAUGGAAUCUGUCACCUUCAAGCUGCCUUAUUGUAAUCUGGGGAUUUGUGCCCCGGCCCUGUAACAGGGGCUGGGCUCCUGCCACAGAGCACCGCGUCCCUCCCUGUGCCAUUGCUAACGCCCGUGGGCCGGCGGCGGCAACUUCAGGGACAUAUUUGGGCUCGUUUCCUCACCGGGAUCAGAUCCUUAAUUGAUCUGUCUGUUCUCUCUCUCUUUGCCUCCUUCUGUCUCACGUGCAUCUCAAUCCCCGUCUUCUGAUCUGCUUCACCACCCCCUCCGGCUCGGAGAACAAAUCCCAUCAGACCUGAGGUACAGCCAGGAUGCAGGAGGGGAUCUGGCAUUUUAAAGAAGCAUAAGUACGUGUUUUAAACGAUGGCACCAUCAUGUUGCAUCAGGUACUCCCUCUGAUCAAGGGCUUGUCAACAUAAGAAAUCCCAGAGGAAAAAUGCCCACAAUGAGGAAUUCACAGAAAAUACACCAGAGCACCUGUACUGAGAGGGAGAAGGUGGAGGAGCCUGUGUGCAUACCUUGCUUCCCCUGCUGUUACACAGAUUCUAAACACAGGUCUGAGCACAAGCUCGAUGGCAACUCUCAGCUCCGUCUGCCGGGGCUGCAGCUCCAGCGCUCCUCACCAUCCUCCACCUUCUCCUCCAAAGUAACAAAGCCAUUGGAUUUCCUCCCACCCCUUCCCCGCGCUCCCCCUCCCCCUCGCUGGCACCGGGGUUAUUUAUACAGAAUGUGGAAACAAUUUGCAGGAAAGUGAACAAUGUAAGCGGGAGUGAGGGAAGGGAGACAAGUUUGUUGUGCACACUGAGAGCCCCAGCGGUGAAACGCUGCUUUUUGGGGGGCUGAGAGAACAGACUGUUUCCUUUCUUCCUUCUCCUCUCUUUCACCAUCUCCCUCAGCUCUUUCCAUCUUGCCAGAGUCGGGUCCAAACCAGAGCAACCAGAUCUGAGUGCGUGUUUUGGAGGAGGUUCAGGUUGGAUCCCUCCCUGCAUCCCAGCCCCGUGAGGCGGUGUCUGUGUACUUAAUCCUCUCUGAGGUUCUGCUCUCGGAUUGUUGCUGCUCCUGGAUUAGCAUUAAUGAGGAGCAUGUGUGCUCAGAGGUCCUGCUCCAGGCCCCCAGAGCUGCAGCACUGGGUUUAGACACAGCUACUCCCAGAAACAGUUCAGCUGAAACAGAACCAUUCCUGGGAGUGAACGAGGCAGGAACUUUUUGCAAAGUCUAAUUUCGGUCUUUCUCCCCUCACCCACUGAGCAUUACAUUUUCAGGACAUCCCAGCACCUUGCUGGCUCCACUGUGAGUGUCUGGGAAUCAGGGAGAGUUUACCUGAGUUCUGCUGGGGCUGAGGAAGCUGAACCAGCACUGACUCGGCACUCAGAGCAGAUCUGGGAUCUUCAGCUGGCACUCUGCACCAUGAAGUCCUCAAAAAGAGGGUCUUUAGAUGAGAACAGAUUUGUAUUCCUCUCUUCCUGCUGCUCACUUACCACCUGAAAUCCUCGGCUGCUCCCACAACGGCGAGCAUAUCCCGGGCGGAGCGUUGGAGCUCCAGGGAGACUCUGCAGAUCCUGUGGAGUGCAGGAAUCACGGAGAACAGAGACCGAUGAAAGAUGGCUCCAGGGUGGGAUUUUGGAGAGUGUCUACAUGGUGUUGUUUUCUUUCACUGCUCCAUUUCUAAAGAUAACUGCUGUGUGUUUGGAGAAGCUGUUCUGUCUUUCCAACCCCUCGACAGCACGGGCUGCUGAACGAGAACAUAGUGAAGGAAAGCAGCUGAAGAAAGAAAAGCUGUUCCUGUGGUAGGCUUCAGAAAAAUUGCUGCUUGUCUUCCCUCCCCCACAGCGCUGAAUCCCAGCACCCCAGACUGUCGUGACUGCCGGGGAUUGGUGACAUCUCGAGUGACACGUGUUGGAGCAUCAGAACAGAGUGGGAGCAGCACAGCUUGGCUCCGGGAGCCAAAAAUAGGCAGUGCUUCCCAGAAUGUCCUGGCAGCCUCAGAAGUGGUGGACACCGGAAUGACACCCCAGAGGAGCAGCUGAGUGCUACUGAUUGCUGGUGAGUGGUUGGGAGGUCAGCAGGAAAACACCAGACUCCCGUCUGAAAGGACAAACCCAACAGAUCCUGGAGCAGCCAUCAGCCUGAAGGAGGGGUUAGAGGCAGAUUGCAGCCAUUUGGGACUGGGAAAACAUGAGAUUUGUGAGAAACCUUUUCUCCCUCUGUCAAACCUCUCUUAUUUGUUGCCUGCCUCAAAGGGCUUGUGGCCGAAAAAUGCCACUGCUUUGCUUCAUAGAAUCUAAAUAUUCCAAUGGCACAGACAGAAACCUCAAUCUCUGCUCAGCCCCUACUGUAGGUGUUGGAACACUGAAGGAGGUCUUUUUGACAAAUUGAACACCUACACUUCUGUGCUUUCAGAAAUGAAGGGCACUUUUGAUAACUUCUCAUAGCCCAAACUUCUUUCUCUACCUAUCCCCCAUUUUUAGCAAUGUAAAUUUGUUCUGAGCAUCUAAAUUCCCUCCAGUUUUUGGUAGUGAUCUUUUUUAGCUGGAUUCCUUUGGGGAUGUGAAGGCACCUUCCCUGUGCAAAAAAUGUCCAUUGCCUGUACAGCAUGAGAGCAUUUUCCUCUGGGAUUUCCCUGCCAGCACGUACCUUCCACUCUGGGAGGAGGAAAUGCCAUUUCAACCCUUGGCCCUUCGAAGAGCAUCCCUCAAAAAUGUGUGUUAUUGGAGGGGGGGCAGGUGGAGCAGCAGCCUGAGCAACAUGCACAGUGUGGUGGUCCCUGGUCACUGGGAGGUGGAUCAGCACUUUCACCUCUUUUUGGGGCAGAGAUGUUCCAACCCCCCCCAAUCCCUGUCGGUGUGAGCUCGCAGCCUUUCCUUCCCUGCCCUUCCCUCUGCUCCGUUCAGGAUCUCUGAGAGCCUUUGUGUCUCACAUGGACACAGAGUCACAUUCUGAGCUCUUUGAAGCACAUUUCAUAUUUCUUAGAAUCAAUAAACUUCACAGGCAGUCGCAGAAAUCCCAGGCAGUCAAUAAGUCCCGUCAGGCUCCCUCAGGAGUGAAAGCAGAGCGUUGUAAGGACAUUUCUUAGGGAGCUGCUGUUCAGGCAUAUUUGUUGUUUCAAUUAGUCUGAUUUAGGGGCUCAGUCAGGGGCUGCAGCCUGUAGCACUCACACUGUAAUUUGAUUUCUAAAGCUGCCGUUCAGGUACUGAGGGAGUAAAACUAUGUGGUAAAACCCCAGUGUGACAGCAGCUGUGGAGAUCCCAAUAUGCCUGUCAGGGAGAUCCAGGGAGAUCCCAGGGUUCACCAUCACCUGCAUUUCCCAUCCCACAUCCCAUUGGAGCCCUCCUGGCUUUGAUCACCAGUCCCCUGGGAGGAGCAUGGAAAGGUGGUUUUCCAGACCUGUUCCCCUAAAGGAAUGUUUAAACAAACAACAAGAAAAGAAAGUCAAAUGAAUGUGUGUGAGAAGUGCCAGAUUGGCAGCUUGAGGGAGUCAAACUUCACCUGUGUGGUGGCUGCCCAUGUUUUAUGUGCUGGAGCUGUCAGUGCAGCACCAUUCCUCGGCACAACACGUGUUCCUUGCUUUUCAAACUGUCCUCAUGUGCCCACGUUGCUCAGUCCUGCAGCUGAGAAAGAGUCAGACAGCACUGAUGGGGGUAAGGAGCUGGACUGCCGAGCACUAGGAAGGAAUGUUGGAUAAUUUGCCCUGGUUUUGGAGAUGCUUAAAAAUUGCAAGAGGUUAGAUUUAAAAACAAAAUAUAUGCAGAACGAGUCAAGGUGUAGCUCUGCUUUCAAACUAGAAGCUGCUGGGAACAAAGCUCAUGUCUCUCCUUAGGAAAUGAGGGCUGUGUCCCUGUUGUUGCUCCCUGGGAAGAGGCCUCCAUGCUCUGACAGCUACAUCACCAAGGUCUUGUCUGGACCUUUUCAGCACUCCCAGGUGCUGCAGCACAACCUUUCCUGGCAGGAAGGGGCUUUGGGAGGCACAGACCCUGUGGUGAAAGACAAGUCUCCCAGGACUCCAGGGUCCUUCAGGGGCACCUUAUGAGCCUGGGGAGUGGAAGCCCCGUCUGAACAAAGUCUUGUUCUGAAAAGUUUAAUUUUACAACUGUUCGAGCUUGUCCCUCUUUCAGAUGGCAUGGUAAAAAUGAAGUAUGAUAUUUCUUCCAUGAAAAAUCCACUAUAUUUAUAGGAAAUUCCUUCCCGGCAUUUUGAAGGGGUGAUGAGGUUUGGAGGAGAAUUCUAGUUAGAGGAAGCAGAGCCAAAACUCUGACUUUAAAGGGCUAUCUGAGAGUGCAUGAACAAGAUCAUUCCAGGGACUCUGUCCCUGUCCUAAUUGUCCAAUGUCUUUAUUCUUUCCUGCUUCUGCAGCUCCUCCUCCCUGUUGUCACUACAUCAUAGUAAAGACUGGUUUUGAACUGUUCAAUUAGAGGACUAAGGUAAUUCUGUUCACAUUUGCUAUUCUGUCACAAGGUUCUAACACUGCUCUGUGUCUCCAGUUCCUGCCAUUCAGAGCAGAGGGACACUUGAGCCACUCUUUUCAAACAGGGGCCCCUGGAAUCAUUGUAUCUGUAUAUUCAGUUUUAAACACCCACAGUCGUGCUCUGAGAUACAGGCCAAGAGCAAAGGACACUUGUGGGAGUUGUAGGUGUUGACACAACAGUCAAAUCUAUUUGGUCUCAAGCUUUAUGCUUGGACCUGCUCAUCUAACUCUGGCUGAUCCAUUUGUGUCUCACACGGGUAACGUGGCUUUUUCUUUCCAUUUCCAGGGGUCCCCAAAUGCAGGUGACCACCCCCCUGACCAGUUGGUGGGUACCAGAGCUGGAGAGGGAUGACUGUGUUCCAUAGCCCUUGGGAAGGGUGCCUUGGCCUCCUGUCAGUGAGUGCAGGGUGUUUGGGCUGUGUGUGUGUGGGGGGGGGAAUGGGGAGCACCUACCACGUGCCAAGAACGAGGGGAGUGAAGGAUUCCCACCAUAUGAUCCAUCUGUGAACUUUUGAUCCAUCAGCUCAUCUGAUCCACCUGAUCCAUCAGCUGGGCCUUUCAGGUAACACACAGAAAAGGGCUGUGCUGCUGUUGGUCCUCAGGUUUGUCUGUAAGGUGUGCUGGGCUCUGCAUUUUCCAGGCAUCCCCUGCUGCUGGUCUAAGGUUGUUUCUUUGGUUUCCCAAACCCUGAGGCAAAUGACUGUUCCUUUGUGCUAAGCAUCAGUUCUCUUCCUUUUUUCUUAUCCUUUCUCCUCUCCAUGGUUUUCCUCUCCAUUUUGAAUUCUCUCAGGCUGCUGCAGUCUCACUUCCCUGAGACUUCUCUCCUGGCACAGACACCAGGAGAAAAUGUGAUGGUGUUUACAGAGCACUGGGACUUAGGAGAUGCAAAAUGUGGACCUGCUGCUCUACCUCUGGUGGCUCACAACACCUUUCUGUGGUUCUGCUUUCCUGUCAGGAUAACCUGGACUAAAACCUCUCUGGGAAAAGGAUUUGCUUUCCCUGUGCGAUCCUACGGUGUCUAACACAACAGGACCCAACCUCAGGAUGAAUUGCAGCUGGUUGCUGGUAAUCCUUGUGGCAUAUCAGAUAGCAGCGUAACUCGGCAAGGGUAAGGUGGAGAAACCCAAACAUCCUUCUGAGGAGGUAAUUAUUCCAUUGUGAAAAUGCUCCGGGAUAUUUUUAGUGGCCAACCCCCCUGUUUCCUGACAGAAACAUAAAAUAAUGAAGCAAGUUUCACAAGGAGAAACGCUUCAGACACCUGUACUAGCCGGUGCUUUGCAGUCACGUCAGUGUUUAAUUCGCCGCGCGCAUCCCUGUGUCCCUGUGCACGGCCAGACCCACACCUGGCUUUGGGGCACUGUGGGCUCUGCCAGCGCCACCUUGCAGGAAACCCUCUCCACCAACAAAUCUGCAAAUCCCGCUGGAUCAGGGGUAAUUUCACGGGAAUAUAGAGCUGCCUGCAACAAGAGGGACACCCUCGCCGCACGCACCGAGGUUAUCGAGGGAAACUUUCCUUAGCAGGAGUCAUACACCCGGUGUAAAAGCCUGGAUUUUUUUGGGAACAAAUGAUUUAAAACGUUUUAGAACGUUUUGCAACACGUUUUUGUGGGGAUGUACCCUCGUUUCAUGUCCCGCAGUGCCCCAGGGGUCCGGUUAUCUCCGGGUUACCUCGAGCACUGGUCCUACAUAAUUUAUGUCCUGAAAGAGACGAUUCAAUUAGUCAAUAAUAAAAUGAGCAAGGACAGCAUGUGCGUUGUAAAAAUAUAAUUUAGUGGGCAACAAGCUGAGAUGGAAAAAUAUAAGGGUACACUCUAUAUGAUUAAUGAAGGAGGAAUGUAUAUUUAUAGCUCUUAUUGUGUCCUUUGUAAGCAGAAGGAUCCGGCAGUAGGACUGGAACCGGCUGGUAACGAUGCGGCAUUCCAAUGAUUGGGAUUUGAAUGGCAAAUGCUGUAUAAAACUAAUUACCCCCAGGAGGAUGAAAAUACAUUUCAUUUGCCUUUUUGGA
Chiroxiphia lanceolata (lance-tailed manakin) is the source of this 8857-nucleotide long non-coding RNA. RefSeq lists it as uncharacterized. The transcript has 19 exons. The record is from RefSeq and is a predicted model, not a curated record. NCBI's taxonomy places the organism in Eukaryota, Metazoa, Chordata, Aves, Passeriformes, Pipridae.